Long non-coding RNA from Drosophila kikkawai, 773 nucleotides. RefSeq lists it as uncharacterized. NCBI's taxonomy places the organism in Eukaryota, Metazoa, Arthropoda, Insecta, Diptera, Drosophilidae. The record is from RefSeq and is a predicted model, not a curated record.
UUAUGUCUGCCUGUGGAUUUUGCUUCUAAAUUGUAACAAAAUAUUGUUCUAAGGACGAGAAAUUAUUUGUUUACAAAAGAUUAUUUGCCGUUCCAAUGCUGGAAUAUACCUAAACUUGUGGUGAAAAAAUUUUAAAUCAGCUUUUCUUUUUUUUUUUUUGCCCCCAUUGAGUUGAUGAUGACGACUGAAUCGGAGUGUCCUAGGACCGGGUUUAUUUUCAAUUAAUCAAGCCCUGCGAACCAGACUCAUAAUGGAGCCCAUUUCAAGGUCCCCUCAUCGCGAUGUGAAUGCCACUCGAAUUCGGAAAGCGAAAUGAAUAAAUGAUUGAAUGCCGGACUGUUUUCCACGAAAAUAAGUAGUUAACUAUUGACAGAGCGAGCGAGCGGAAUAUUAAUUGCCAGACGCGUCGCUUCUGCCUCUGCCACCAUAUUUCUUUUUCCCUCUGCUUCGCUUCCUUCCGUUGUCAACGCCAUUGUCUUGUAAUAAACAAGUCCUGUCGGAGUGGAGACCGAGAAGGGUGGACGUGGACGGAUCCUGGGCCAUAUUAUUGGCAGGGCAACAUAAUAAACAUAAAUCAAGUGCGCCGCCAUUGUACUCAGUUUCACUGGCUGAUUUGAUAUUGGACUGCCUGGAAUUCCAGUUCGGUAAUCGCACAGGGCAAAAAAUAUUUACUUAAGAUCUUUGGUACUAAACAUCAGAAUAUGAUAUAGUUUUUAGGAUUUAUGAAAGAAAACCUAGUAAAUUGUAUAUUAUAUUUUCGCUUAUAAUAGCAA